CUUUUUAUUUAAAAACUAUAAAACAUGGUUCGUCGGUGCCAAAUUUGUAAGAAAUUGGACUAUUUAAGUCCUGGAACAACAUUCCACAGAUUAUGCUGCCAAAGUUUCCUGAAUACAAUUCCGACCACUCUGUAUAUCAAGAUAUCCCCCAUUACGUACUAGUUUUUCUUAAUAAUUUUCUAUACAUUUUCCAACGCCAAGAUGUACCAAGCGCAUACAAAUACAUCAAGCUUCAAACAAGCUUGCACGUUGACAGUAAUACCUACAGUAAUAUUGUAUUAUAUUAAUGUAAUAUUUUUGAACCAAUGUUCAAUAUUACUGUAGUAAUACUGUUUAUACUCAUGCCUUUUAUAUUUGUUUGAAUUUGGUGCAUAUUUCCAUUGAAUAAAGUAUAGUCACCAUUACCAUUAUUAUACUUACUCUAUAAUAAAGACAGUAACGAGUUAAA
RNAcentral lists this long non-coding RNA (448 nucleotides) under Sitophilus oryzae (rice weevil). RNAcentral's name for it is "uncharacterized LOC115874401". The record is from RNAcentral. Lineage: Eukaryota; Metazoa; Arthropoda; Insecta; Coleoptera; Curculionidae.